Molecule: transfer RNA, 70 nt
Filed under: Turtur tympanistria
Lineage: Eukaryota; Metazoa; Chordata; Aves; Columbiformes; Columbidae
Description: tRNA-Trp
Rfam family: tRNA
About the family: Transfer RNA (tRNA) molecules are approximately 80 nucleotides in length. Their secondary structure includes four short double-helical elements and three loops (D, anti-codon, and T loops). Further hydrogen bonds mediate the characteristic L-shaped molecular structure. tRNAs have two regions of fundamental functional importance: the anti-codon, which is responsible for specific mRNA codon recognition, and the 3' end, to which the tRNAs corresponding amino acid is attached (by aminoacyl-tRNA synthetases). tRNAs cope with the degeneracy of the genetic code in two manners: having more than one tRNA (with a specific anti-codon) for a particular amino acid; and 'wobble' base-pairing, i.e. permitting non-standard base-pairing at the 3rd anti-codon position.
Source: RNAcentral
AGAAACUUAGGAUCGACCAAACCAAAGGCCUUCAAAGCCUUAAACAAGAGUUAAAUUCUCUUAGUUUCUG